Molecule: non-coding RNA, 208 nt
Organism: Pelobates cultripes (western spadefoot toad)
Lineage: Eukaryota; Metazoa; Chordata; Amphibia; Anura; Pelobatidae
Source: the annotation of a GenBank genome assembly
GCAUAAUUCUGAGUGACAGAUGAACAUUUGAUUGAUUAAAUCAACAACAGGUCUACAGGACAUGAAAAGUGUAUUGGAAAAACUGCCAAGGAAGCCAUUUGACAGCAGCAGAAUAGAAUAAUAAGGAACAGAAUAUGCCACAACAUUGUUUGUCACUAUGCACAAACCAGGCCUGGCAACAUUGGGAGGUAUGAUUGACCGGGAAAAG